GGGGCUGAUUCUGGAUUCGACGGGAUUUGCGAAACCCAAGGUGCAUGCCGAGGGGCGGUUGGCCUCGUAAAAAGCCGCAAAAAAAUAGUCGCAAACGACGAAAACUACGCUUUAGCAGCUUAAUAACAGGCGAAUGUAAAGACUGACUAAGCAUGUAGUACCGAGGAUGUAGGAAUUUCGGACGCGGGUUCAACUCCCGCCAGCUCCACCA
This 211-nucleotide transfer-messenger RNA is filed under the name Klebsiella grimontii. It matches the Rfam family "transfer-messenger RNA". From Rfam's summary of the family: Bacterial tmRNA, also known as 10Sa RNA or SsrA, is named for its dual tRNA and mRNA-like properties. Its role is to liberate the mRNA from a stalled ribosome. Lineage: Bacteria; Pseudomonadati; Pseudomonadota; Gammaproteobacteria; Enterobacterales; Enterobacteriaceae. The record is from RNAcentral.